CUGCUGCCUUCCGUAGGAGUCUGGUCCGUGUCUCAGUACCAGUGUGGGGGACCUUCCUCUCAGAACCCCUGCGCAUCGUCGCCUCGGUGGGCCGUUACCCCGCCGACUAGCUAAUGCGCCGCAUGGCCAUCCGCAGCCGAUGAAUCUUUAACCGCCGAGGGAUGCCCCUCUGCGGUGUUACGCGGUAUUAGACGGAAUUUCUUCCGCUUAUCCCCCUGCUGCGGGCAGGUUCCAUACGUGUUACUCACCCGUGCGCCGGUCG
This 262-nucleotide ribosomal RNA is filed under the name uncultured bacterium. RNAcentral's name for it is "partial 16S ribosomal RNA". The record is from RNAcentral.